UCUAUAUAUACCAUUUUUAUGGUCGGGCGUCCACGGCUGAUUGGUAUAUCAAAUCAAACACAAGGGUGUAUAUCAUGCCCCUGAGUGUUCACGCCUCACUGGGUGGUCACGUAAUAAGGUGUGGCACCAGCAUCUCGGGUUACAAUUUGAUAUUAAUUCAAGUACUCCACUGAUAAUGUACAUAGGUAGUUAACUUAAUUACAUUCAGUUUUGUCCGACAAGGAGCGAGUUUACUUUUUUUUAGACACAGACUUUGUAACAGGCUCUUCCCCUGGAAACACAUAUAUUGUAAAUAAAUAUUUUGCCGUUUCCAUCAACUUUAUCACGUGAUGUUCUAUAACUGUUGUCUUGUACACUAUCCAUAGUGUAAGUCAGCUGGCUCGAGGAAUUUUCAUAUAGUAUUAUCAUUAAACAACAUACCCUAUGCAACAGUUAUGUUGCUACCCAGACAAAACUAUUUUUAUAUUCUAUGUUAAAUGUAAACGAUCAGUUUUUAUUAUAAAUACAAAACCACCUUUUAAGCGGUAAUACCUAUCACGCAUUAAACAACAUAUAUGAACAACCAUGUGAUUAUAAAGUCUCACGUUGGUUCCUCCGUGCAACUUCAUGCCUGACUUACAUUCAUAUUGUUCUUUCACCACACUUACGCUUCUCCAAAUUUAGAAAGAAGCUGUGUACACAGUGUUCUUGCGAGUUACAAUAACGCGUCCGGUUUGGCGGCAACUUCAAAGAGUGGACAUAUGGUUGCUCCUUCAGGUAGCUAUAAUUACCCUCUCUAUAAUGCAAUAUCGUAUUAUCCAUUUGUAAUGAAUGAUAGUAACACUAAAUCGGAUUGGAUUCAGUUAAAUCUACAUUUCUCAAGGUCUCUAACAUCGAGAUUUGAAAUAUCUUUCAUGUAAAUACCUUCUUUGUCAUGUGACUUGUAUAUAUUCGUGUAUAUUCAGAAUCGUACCUACGCACAAUGUCUUUGAACAAUGGCACAAGCAACGUGGUCUCUUUCUGUAAAACAUAGCACUCUUUAUUUCAGCCACAGCAAAGAUCCCGAACCACGUGCAGUCAGCAGAGUUACAGCGUCUGGUUACCGUCUUGCAGUUACGAUACAGAAUAUGUGCACAUAGCUUUCAAUGACCAGACGAAAAAAAGAAUUCAUUUCAAGUAUGUUGAGAAGAAAACGACCCAUCUCUGAAAAAAUCACCUCACCCAAGAAAAUACGACUCAUUCAUGAGAAUGAAAAGUGCAAAGUCUCCCAAGAAAUUGUCUUGUAAUAUAGCAUGUGAAUAAAUAAUUUUUUGAAAUAU
Molecule: long non-coding RNA, 1298 nt
Organism: Haliotis rufescens (red abalone)
Lineage: Eukaryota; Metazoa; Mollusca; Gastropoda; Lepetellida; Haliotidae
Exons: 3
Source: RefSeq, a predicted model, not a curated record